UACAGGAGGGUGCGAGCGUUAAUCGGAAUUACUGGGCGUAAAGCGCGCGUAGGCGGCUUUGCAAGUCGAGUGUGAAAUCCCCAGGCUUAACCUGGGAACUGCAUUCGAGACUGCAUGGCUAGAGUAUGGGGAGAGGGAAGUGGAAUUUCAGGUGUAGCGGUGAAAUGCGUAGAUAUCUGAAGGAACAUCAGUGGCGAAAAGCGACUUCCUGGACCAAUACUGACGCUCAUGUGCGAAAAGCGUGGGGGAGCAAACAGG
This 258-nucleotide ribosomal RNA is filed under the name uncultured bacterium. RNAcentral describes it as "partial 16S ribosomal RNA". It matches the Rfam family "Bacterial small subunit ribosomal RNA", at positions 524 to 776 of the family's 1533-position model. The record is from RNAcentral.